AAGGAUUCACAAGCGCCAGAGCUUGAUGCUGCGCGGGAACGGCCGGAUGCCCGGAUAGAAGGAUUACUGCCAGAUACCUGUAUGAUUACAGUCGGCAGCAAGAACCUAUCAGGCAGCGUGCCAUCGGCAGAGCAAGCUGACGAGGUGGGGGUGUUCGAAAUGUUCGGCGGGGACCUCCCGGCAGUAUGCACCAGCCGUAAGCCGGAUCGGAAAAUGAAUGGGCGACCGUUCAUACAACGUGCCGGCAGGUGCCAUC
RNAcentral lists this non-coding RNA (256 nucleotides) under Paenibacillus sp. RNAcentral's name for it is "GlcN6P sequence". It matches the Rfam family "glmS glucosamine-6-phosphate activated ribozyme aptamer". Rfam says of the family: This entry contains a glucosamine-6-phosphate activated ribozyme that is found in the mRNA for GlmS. GlmS is an enzyme that uses fructose-6-phosphate and glutamine to generate glucosamine-6-phosphate. The ribozyme catalyses self cleavage of the glmS mRNA that is thought to regulate GlmS activity. The record is from RNAcentral. Lineage: Bacteria; Bacillati; Bacillota; Bacilli; Caryophanales; Paenibacillaceae.